CAGGUCUCCUAGUGGCUAGUCUGUGGCCCAUUUCAUGUCCCCGAGUGAGGCCUGUGGCUUUGGGGAUGUGUUCUCACCCCAGCUUCUGCUAACGCCGAGGCCUGGCUGUCCCUGUCCCUCUAGGCCUGUCUCUUGUGCUUCUUCUGGGGUCCCUUCCAUUGCUUUUCCCUCAAAUGCGUCCUUAGCUGGUCUCUCCUCUUCCCUUCUGUAUUCCCCCAGGGAUCUCAUUCUGUCUGUGGUUGUAACUAGCACCUAAAGCAAAUUAACCUGCAAAUCUUUGUGUCCAUACAACAGCCUGCUGGACCUUUCCAUGAAGAUGUUCAUCAGCCAACUCAAGUUAAAAACAUCUGAAGGUGAACUCACUGUCUCCUUCCAAAACCCACCUCUCCCUAUUCACUUUGCCUUUGAAGAAGCAGGUCAAUGAGAAAAUGUCCACACUGAAGUCCAUUCUCUGUUCUAAGGUAUAUCAACAGUUCAGUAAUUCUAAAAGACUUGAAUAUACAGAAAUGAAUAAAGAUCAUUGUGAAAUGAUUUUAUAGGAACGUGUUCUAUAAAUAUUGCUUAAGAGAGCAUACAACAGAUUGUCACCAAAUAAAUGUGCUCAUAAUUAACGGUACCCCACUGAUUUCUGCUUAAGAACAACAUGGAGCUUAGUCUGUUUUUCCUUUGGGUUUGUGAAUAUCUUCCUUCCUGAAUUUCAGUUUUGCGUUUUUUUCACUUCUUUGUUUUCAUGACACUUAAGAUGAUAC
This 749-nucleotide long non-coding RNA is filed under the name Marmota monax (woodchuck). Lineage: Eukaryota; Metazoa; Chordata; Mammalia; Rodentia; Sciuridae. The record is from RNAcentral.